RNAcentral lists this ribosomal RNA (1369 nucleotides) under uncultured bacterium. RNAcentral describes it as "bacterial SSU rRNA". It matches the Rfam family "Bacterial small subunit ribosomal RNA", at positions 28 to 1381 of the family's 1533-position model. The record is from RNAcentral.
GAUGAACGCUGGCGGCGUGCCUAAUACAUGCAAGUCGAACGAACGGACGAGAAGCUUGCUUCUCUGAUGUUAGCGGCGGACGGGUGAGUAACACGUGGAUAACCUACCUAUAAGACUGGGAUAACUUCGGGAAACCGGAGCUAAUACCGGAUAAUAUUUUGAACCGCAUGGUUCAAAAGUGAAAGACGGUCUUGCUGUCACUUAUAGAUGGAUCCGCGCUGCAUUAGCUAGUUGGUAAGGUAACGGCUUACCAAGGCAACGAUGCAUAGCCGACCUGAGAGGGUGAUCGGCCACACUGGAACUGAGACACGGUCCAGACUCCUACGGGAGGCAGCAGUAGGGAAUCUUCCGCAAUGGGCGAAAGCCUGACGGAGCAACGCCGCGUGAGUGAUGAAGGUCUUCGGAUCGUNAAACUCUGUUAUUAGGGAAGAACAUAUGUGUAAGUAACUGUGCACAUCUUGACNGUACCCUAUCAGAAAGCCACGGCUAACUACGUGCCAGCAGCCCGCGUAAUACGUANGUGGCAAGCGUUAUCCGAAAUUAUGGGCGUAAAGCGCGCGUAGCGGUUUUUUAGUCUGAUGUGAAAGCCCACGGCUCAACCGUGGAGGGUCAUUGGAAACUGGAAAACUUGAGUGCAGAAGAGGAAAGUGGAAUUCCAUGUGUAGCGGUGAAAUGCGCAGAGAUAUGGAGGAACACCAGUGGCGAAGGCGACUUUCUGGUCUGUAACUGACGCUGAUGUGCGAAAGCGUGGGGAUCAAACAGGAUUAGAUACCCUGGUAGUCCACGCCGUAAACGAUGAGUGCUAAGUGUUAGGGGGUUUCCGCCCCUUAGUGCUGCAGCUAACGCAUUAAGCACUCCGCCUGGGGAGUACGACCGCAAGGUUGAAACUCAAAGGAAUUGACGGGGACCCGCACAAGCGGUGGAGCAUGUGGUUUAAUUCGAAGCAACGCGAAGAACCUUACCAAAUCUUGACAUCCUUUGACAACUCUAGAGAUAGAGCCUUCCCCUUCGGGGGACAAAGUGACAGGUGGUGCAUGGUUGUCGUCAGCUCGUGUCGUGAGAUGUUGGGUUAAGUCCCGCAACGAGCGCAACCCUUAAGCUUAGUUGCCAUCAUUAAGUUGGGCACUCUAAGUUGACUGCCGGUGACAAACCGGAGGAAGGUGGGGAUGACGUCAAAUCAUCAUGCCCCUUAUGAUUUGGGCUACACACGUGCUACAAUGGACAAUACAAAGGGCAGCGAAACCGCGAGGUCAAGCAAAUCCCAUAAAGUUGUUCUCAGUUCGGAUUGUAGUCUGCAACUCGACUACAUGAAGCUGGAAUCGCUAGUAAUCGUAGAUCAGCAUGCUACGGUGAAUACGUUCCCGGGUCU